RNAcentral lists this small nucleolar RNA (63 nucleotides) under Euglena gracilis. RNAcentral's name for it is "Eg-m149 box C/D methylation-guide". Lineage: Eukaryota; Euglenozoa; Euglenophyceae; Euglenales; Euglenaceae. The record is from RNAcentral.
UGCAUGAGGAGAAUGUCUUCUUUCCCCGACUGACGGAGAUGCUGCAGUUUGUCACGUCUGAGC